This 254-nucleotide ribosomal RNA is filed under the name uncultured bacterium. RNAcentral's name for it is "partial 16S ribosomal RNA". It matches the Rfam family "Bacterial small subunit ribosomal RNA", at positions 524 to 776 of the family's 1533-position model. The record is from RNAcentral.
UACGUAGGGGGCAAGCGUUGUCCGGAUUCAUUGGGCGUAAAGAGCUCGUAGGCGGUUCGAUAAGUCGGGUGUGAAACCUCCAGGCUCAACCUGGAGACGCCACCCGAUACUGUCGUGACUAGAGUCCAGUAGGGGAGCGUGGAAUUCCUGGUGUAGCGGUGAAAUGCGCAGAUAUCAGGAGGAACACCAGCGGCGAAGGCGGCGCUCUGGGCUGGAACUGACGCUGAGGAGCGAAAGCGUGGGGAGCGAACAGG